Molecule: long non-coding RNA, 447 nt
Organism: Trichechus manatus latirostris (Florida manatee)
Lineage: Eukaryota; Metazoa; Chordata; Mammalia; Sirenia; Trichechidae
Exons: 4
Source: RefSeq, a predicted model, not a curated record
GGUUCCCGGCGUUCCUGGGGAGUUAAUGGCGGCCGAUGUGGUGGGUGCAGUGGCCUUCUCCCGAAGGCGUCGCAGGAGCUGAGGGUGUCGCUGCACUGUGCACAAGGCGGAGGCAGGAAGAAGGAGAGAAUGGAUGUUCGAAGAUAACUAGAGACCUUUGCCUAAAUGAUGAGAAGAGGACCACAUGAACCACAGCCUCCCCCAGUCUGAUGCCAGAAGAACUAGAUGGUGCCCGGGUACCAUCACUGACCACUCUGUCAGUCUUAAAUAUCAUGGACAGCCUGGGAUCCUCAGACGUUUGUGGAAAAUCUCUAACAUGUAAGACAAAGACCAAAACGAUGAUGAGAGGAGCAGAAGAAAAAAAAAAUUUAAAUCACUAUAAUUAAUAUCCUCAUAUCAUCAGAUGGGUUUCAGCAGAGCUUCCAGACUAAGACAUACUAGGAAGAA